CUUCGGACCAAAGAUUUAUCGCCCAAGGAUGAGCCCGCGUAGGAUUAGCUAGUUGGUGAGGUAAAAGCUCACCAAGGCGACGAUCCUUAGCUGGUCUGAGAGGAUGAUCAGCCACACUGGGACUGAGACACGGCCCAGACUCCUACGGGAGGCAGCAGUGGGGAAUAUUGGACAAUGGGCGAAAGCCUGAUCCAGCAAUGCCGCGUGAGUGAUGAAGGCCCUAGGGUUGUAAAGCUCUUUUACCCGGGAUGAUAAUGACAGUACCGGGAGAAUAAGCUCCGGCUAACUUCGUGCCAGCAGCCGCGGUAAUACUAUUUGUUUUCUAGCGUUGUUCGGAAUUACUGGGCGUAAAGCUCGUGUAGGCGGUUUUUUAAGUCAGAGGUGAAAGCCCGGGGCUCAACCCCGGAAUAGCCUUUGAAACUGGAAAACUAGAAUCUUGGAGAGGUCAGUGGAAUUCCGAGUGUAGAGGUGAAAUUCGUAGAUAUUCGGAAGAACACCAGUGGCGAAGGCGACUGACU
Molecule: ribosomal RNA, 518 nt
Filed under: Sphingopyxis sp.
Lineage: Bacteria; Pseudomonadati; Pseudomonadota; Alphaproteobacteria; Sphingomonadales; Sphingopyxidaceae
Description: bacterial SSU rRNA
Rfam family: Bacterial small subunit ribosomal RNA
Source: RNAcentral